GUAUCCAUGGUGUGGACAUUGCAAUAAAAGUGAUUUGAAGCAAUCCUAUGCUUCAUGAAAAGGUUCAGUAUUCUUUUAAUAAAAAUUAGAAAUUUUAACUCUUAAUUC
Molecule: small nucleolar RNA, 108 nt
Filed under: Ricinus communis (castor bean)
Lineage: Eukaryota; Viridiplantae; Streptophyta; Magnoliopsida; Malpighiales; Euphorbiaceae
Description: Plant small nucleolar RNA R71
Rfam family: Plant small nucleolar RNA R71
About the family: R71 is a member of the C/D box family of snoRNAs containing the C (UGAUGA) and D (CUGA) box motifs. Multiple nearly identical copies of this snoRNA have been identified in Arabidopsis, and it is thought to function as a 2'-O-ribose methylation guide for 18S ribosomal RNA.
Source: Rfam by way of RNAcentral